Molecule: unclassified non-coding RNA, 255 nt
Filed under: Hevea brasiliensis (rubber tree)
Lineage: Eukaryota; Viridiplantae; Streptophyta; Magnoliopsida; Malpighiales; Euphorbiaceae
Source: RNAcentral
CUUUCUUCUAAGAAAACGAAAUUUAUUAAUGUCUUUGUCUCCUCUCCUUCCAAGGCCCCCACCACCUUUCUUUCUUUGAGGAACAAGACCAAACUUCAAGCUUUCUGAAACAGAUUUCAUGGCUAGCUGCCACUCUCUCUCUUGGGAAAUUCAUCAAACAUAUUCACAGCUAUGAGGUCUAAAACUCAAUCUCCCACUAACAUCAAGCUCAUCCUCCUCUGUUUCUUCUUCCUCUCCCUCUUUCUUCUCAUCAUC